Bufo bufo (common toad) is the source of this 151-nucleotide long non-coding RNA. RefSeq lists it as uncharacterized. The record is from RefSeq and is a predicted model, not a curated record. The transcript is spliced from 3 exons. NCBI's taxonomy places the organism in Eukaryota, Metazoa, Chordata, Amphibia, Anura, Bufonidae.
AGGCUCACAUCUUUAUAUCCUAAAACAGAGUCUCCACAGUUUGCCUGUCAGAUGGAGGAUCAUCCACACCCAGCUGACACUGAUGGCUGGGUUUUAUGUAGGCCAAUAAAGACCCGGCCUAGAGUGUGGGGAAAAGCCACCCACCCAGCAC